Molecule: transfer RNA, 67 nt
Filed under: Nebrioporus ceresyi
Lineage: Eukaryota; Metazoa; Arthropoda; Insecta; Coleoptera; Dytiscidae
Description: transfer RNA-Leu
Source: RNAcentral
UAUUAUUACUUUGGCAGAAUAGUGUGAUAAAUUUAGAAUUUAUUUAUGUAAGUUAUUACAAGUAAUA